Molecule: long non-coding RNA, 984 nt
Filed under: Ricinus communis (castor bean)
Lineage: Eukaryota; Viridiplantae; Streptophyta; Magnoliopsida; Malpighiales; Euphorbiaceae
Description: long non-coding RNA (RCOM_LNC000871)
Source: RNAcentral
UUCAAUUCAUUAGGUUCAGAAAUAAUUAACAUGAGAUUAUUUCCCAUGCUUUAGUAAGUAUGAAAUAAUAAGAUCACGGUUCAUUCUUUUUUAACUAAUUACCUGAAUGUUUUCAAAAUUAAAAUAACCGGAAUUAUAAACUACAUGCAAAGCAUGUAAAUGAAAAUAACUAUUACCCUAAAAAAACAGAAAAGCAAAAAGCUUUACGGACAUUUUAUAAAGGAAAAGAAAAAGGUAUAGAAUAUAACUAGCACUAACACCACCAUCGUGAUCAAGUGCAGUCACACAUCACAUAUCAUCACCAAGCAAGAAAAGAAAAAAAAAACGGAAUAUUUCACACGAAAAAAAAAAACACAUACAGAUACAAAGCCAUUUCGAAUAGUACCUAAAGGAAUAAGUNNNGAAGAAAAAGAAAAAAGAACAAAAUAUAGAGAAAAGAAUAGAUUUUCCUUGUAAAAAUGAUAAAUCAAUAAAGAAAAGGAACUCACCUUCUCCCGUUACUUAUUCGUCUGUUAAAAAGGAGUGAGAGCCAGAUCUCAAAAAUAGCAGCAGUAACUAUUUUGUGAUUGAUCUCAUAAAAUAUGCAACCAAACACACAAAUGAAGAAAUAAAGAGACGCGAUAGUUUCUCUCUGUGUCUCCGCGCAGUCUUUUAUUUUCGAUUGCGCGUUUUAAAACGAAAGAGAGAAUUUGGAAAGGAAUUCGUAUAAUUUGAUGCUAAGAAGGAGAAGAGAAACCUGAGAAAAAGUUUUUACAAAAAGAUAAUGGAAAUUAGAAAUCCAAAGUGGGAUUUCGAAAACUUGUGAAAAGGAGAGAUGGCUUGUGUUUGGGGUUUUGCAUCGGAGUUGUUCUAUUUUUAGAAAAAUUUCUUUCUUACUUUUUUUUUUUUUUUGUUUUAAGUUUUUCACUGCGUACUUGCCUUUGCAUUUAGGCUGCUGUUUCUUUGCUUGCUUUUGGUCAUUUCUUAGUUUUUCUCCGUUUCCUC